UAUUGGACAAUGGGCGAAAGCCUGAUCCAGCCAUGCCGCGUGUGUGAAGAAGGUCUUCGGAUUGUAAAGCACUUUAAGUUGGGAGGAAGGGCAGUUACCUAAUACGUGAUUGUUUUGACGUUACCGACAGAAUAAGCACCGGCUAACUCUGUGCCAGCAGCCGCGGUAAUACAGAGGGUGCAAGCGUUAAUCGGAAUUACUGGGCGAAAGCGCGCGUAGGUGGUUAGUUAAGUUGGAUGUAAAUCCCCGGGCUCAACCUGGAACUGCAUUCAAAACUACUACAGAGAUGGAGAGGGUGGUGAAUUUCCUGUGAGCGGUAAAUCGAGUUGAAGAACACCAGUGGCAAGCACACCUGGCUGUCUGCUCUGCGUCAGA
This 375-nucleotide ribosomal RNA is filed under the name uncultured bacterium. RNAcentral describes it as "bacterial SSU rRNA". It matches the Rfam family "Bacterial small subunit ribosomal RNA", at positions 362 to 750 of the family's 1533-position model. The record is from RNAcentral.